CAAAUGCUGGAACAUUCGCAGCUGCAAUUUGGAUUUCAUCACCAGUUUUUGGGUUACGGCCAGUGCGAGCUGCACGGUGAUUUACUUUAAAUGUACCAAAACCGAUAAGUUGAACUUGAUCACCCUCUUUAAGUGCAUCAGUUACA
This 146-nucleotide unclassified non-coding RNA is filed under the name Vibrio tapetis subsp. tapetis. RNAcentral describes it as "sau-50". Lineage: Bacteria; Pseudomonadati; Pseudomonadota; Gammaproteobacteria; Vibrionales; Vibrionaceae. The record is from RNAcentral.